GCCUGGAUGGCUCAGUCGGUUAAGCACCUGACUUUGGCUCAGGUCUUGUCUGGCAGUUUGUGAGUUCGAGUCCCACAUCCGGUG
This 84-nucleotide transfer RNA is filed under the name Felis catus (domestic cat). It matches the Rfam family "tRNA". From Rfam's summary of the family: Transfer RNA (tRNA) molecules are approximately 80 nucleotides in length. Their secondary structure includes four short double-helical elements and three loops (D, anti-codon, and T loops). The record is from Rfam by way of RNAcentral. Lineage: Eukaryota; Metazoa; Chordata; Mammalia; Carnivora; Felidae.